CAGAGAACCCCAGCUUCCUGCGGUAACAGACUAAAGUAGACAAAGUCAUCUCUCACAUGUUAGGGGAGAGAAGUAGUCUGGUAGUGACAUGUGUUGAGUGCAACCAGUGAGUAAUUACUCUGUGCGUGAACUCAGUCAACCCUAUUGAGAUGUGUGAUACUGAUAGCCUCCUUACACAGGUGGGAAAUUGGGGCAUGCAGGAGGGAAGGAAGUUACAGAGCUGCUCAGUGGAGGAACUGAGAUUCAAAUCCAAAGCCAGCCGGCUCCAGAGUGUAAAACACUGGGAAAAGGUCCUUCCAUAGGAGGGGAAACUGUGGCCAAGGAGCCAGAUACUGGGCAGUGUCACUUUAAGGAGAGCUGUAUAAACAGUGAUAUUUAAUGAAGGUGAAAGAAAACUAAGGGAAGAAGACGCUCUUGAUUGGAGAUCGGAGCUCCCCAGUCCAGGCUCAGGGGAUCUGAACCCCAGGGACUGUGCAUUCGCACAGCUUCCACCAUCACUUCUGCUCUGAGGAACUAGCAGAAAGGUCCUGUCCUUGCACAGCCAGAGCUACAGGCUUUGACGGCCGUCCUCCUGUGGGCGCAGAGAGUCUCUCCUGGAGCCCUUUCCAUCACCCUCUUCAAACCUUCCAUCUCUUCUGAGCCCAUUUCCCAUUCACUCAGCUCCCAUCCAGUUUCCACAUCUCUGCGUUGAUACUUUGCACUGGGAGCUCCUCUGACCGUCUACUCUGCUUGCCAGAUGCCCAGCCAACAUUUUCCUUCUCUCCAUGAAACUGCCUCUCAGGCACCUCCUAUUCUCCACCCGGUGCAGGUUGAGGGCGAGCUGCCCCUACCUCCUCACCCAACCCAGACUUCCAAGACCCUGCAACUUGGCUGCCACGGCAGGCUUCUUGUAGAGGAGACACUCAGUGGACUUUACGCCUCUCACACCAGCCUCACUUCUACAUCUCCAAGUGCCCCCCUGACCAUUCCCCCACUAGGAGAGGCUGGCUUCAUUUAGAAAUCUGCAUCUUCAAAAGCAAACUCAUCUUCCCCUGCCUCUGACAUUGGCAUCUCCGUGAUCCCAGUCACCUGACUUAAAGCCUUAGAGUCAUUUUUGAUUCACUCUAAAUAAAUGAAAUGUUCAGUAAGUGACCUUCUCAUUUCAUUUCUUUUUAAAAAUGUCUCCUAUAAUUUGGCUCAUCAGCUCCUCAUUCCGUCCUGGGUGGAUGGGCCUCUUUGCUUCCACACUUUCUC
RNAcentral lists this long non-coding RNA (1233 nucleotides) under Equus asinus (donkey). RNAcentral's name for it is "lncRNA (ENSEASG00005032342.1)". The record is from RNAcentral. Lineage: Eukaryota; Metazoa; Chordata; Mammalia; Perissodactyla; Equidae.